Mytilus californianus (California mussel) is the source of this 581-nucleotide long non-coding RNA. RefSeq lists it as uncharacterized. The transcript has 2 exons. Lineage: Eukaryota; Metazoa; Mollusca; Bivalvia; Mytilida; Mytilidae. The record is from RefSeq and is a predicted model, not a curated record.
CUCGACCUCAUUUCAUGGAUCAGUGAACAAGGUUAAGUUUUCGUGGUCAAGUCCAUAUCUCAGAUACUAUAAGCAAUAGGUCUAGUAUAUUCGGUGUAUGGAAGGACUGUAAGGUGAACAUGUCCAACUGGCAGGUGUCAUCUGACCUUGACCUCAUUUUCAUGGUUCAGUGGUUAUAGUUAAUUUUUUGUGUUUUGGUCUGUUUUUCUUAUACUGUAUGCCAUAGGUCUACUAUAUUUGGUGUAUGGAAUGAUUGUAAGGUGUACAUGUCUAGCUGGCAGGUGUCAUCUGACCUUGACCUCAUUUUCAUGGUUCAGUGGUCAAAGUUAAGUUUUUGUGUUUUGGUCUGUUUUUCUUAAACUAUAAGCAAUAGGUCAACUAUAUUUGUUGUAUGGAAGAAUUGUUAGCUGUACAUGCCUGCCUAGCAUGGUUCAUCUGACCUUGACCUCAUUUUCAUGGUUCAUUGGUCAAUGUUUAGUUUACUUGGUUAAUGUUAAGUUUAUGUGACAGUUGUAAUAAAGCUUUAUAUUUAGGACUAUCAACAUAAUAUCAAUGAUUAGUAAAGAAGGCGAGACAUUUCA